AGCUGCUCUCAGACAGCAGCAGAGGAGCUGGAGGAAACUACAUGGUCAGUUCUGCUGCUCUGAAUCACACAGGAGUUUAUAUGUGCAGCGCAGAGAGAGAAAAACCAGUCUAUGAGACACGGAACAGCAACAAACAGCUUCUAUGGGUCACUGGUGUUUCUCCUCCAGUCUCUCUGAUCAUCAGUCCCAGCAGAACUCAACACUUCACAUCUGUCUCUCUCUCUCUGAGCUGUGAGGACCAGAGUAACUCUGAUAGAUGGACAGUGAGAAGAUACACAGACACUUGGGGACUGGAAGAUUGUUCAUCAUCUCCGUCGGGAUCACAAACAGGAUCUACAUGUAGAAUCAGCUCCACCAUCCCAUCAGACACUGGAGUGUACUGGUGUCAGUCUGAAUCUGGAGAGAUCAGUCAUCCUCUUAAUAUCACUGUACAACUUGGUGUGAUUCUGGAGAGUCCUGUUCAUCCUGUGACUGAAGGAGAUUCUCUGACUCUACGCUGUUUAUAUGAACAUUCAACUCCACUAAUCCUCAGAGCUGAUUUCUAUAAAGAUGGAUCACUCAUCCAGAAUCAAACUACAGAGAUGAUCAUCUCUACUGUCUCAAAGUCACAUGAGGGUUUCUACUACUGCAAACACCCAGAGAGAGGAGAGUCACCCAAGAGCUGGAUCUCAGUCACAGAUAUUCCCAAUCCAACUCUGACUGUUGAACCACAGGGUUCACUGUUCACUGGAGACUCAGUUACUCUGAGAUGUGAGGUGGAUCAAAUAUGGGUUAGAUGGGUGUUUAUCUGGAGUAGAGACUCAAACACUGAAUCUACUGAAGCUGCAACUAAAAUAAUCAGUUCAGUGACAGUCUCUGAUGGAGGAGAGUACAGGUGCAGAGCACAAAGAGGAGGACUUUACACACAUUACAGUGAAACAGUAACAGUGACAAUAAACGGCAAACCAAAAUCCAAAGUGAGAAUUAAACCUGAUGAACAUGUAUUCAGAGGAGAGACAGUCACUCUCAGAUGUGACAUUGAUGGUGAAGGAGUCUCUAGCUGGAAGUACAGCUGGAAUAAAGACGGUUCAGUCAGUGUUUUCAGUGAACUACAGGAACACACAUUCAGUUCUGUUACUGAGUCUGACGCAGGUAAAUACUCCUGUUAUGGAGCCGAGAGAGGAGGAUCACGAACAACACACAUCAGUGAUGAAGUUACACUUACAGUAUCAGAUAAACCCAGAGCAGUUUUAAGUGUUUCUCCACAGAAGUGGUUGACUGAAGGAGAUCCAGUGACUCUGAUCUGUGAGGUUAAAGACUCCUCUACAGGUUGGACAUUCAGCUGGUUCACUCUAACUGUUUCAUCAGACAACAGCAAUCGUUAUGAGCUGCUCUCAGACAGCAGCAGAGGAGCUGGAGGAAACUACACGGUCAGUUCUGCUGCUCUUAAUCACACAGGAGUUUAUGUGUGCAGCGCAGAGAGAGGAAAACCAGUCUAUAACACAACCUACAGCAACAAACAACCACUACGGGUCACUGGUGUUUCUCCUCCAGUCUCUCUGAUCAUCAGUCCCAGCAGAACUCAACACUUCACAUCUGUCUCUCUCUCUCUGAGCUGUGAGGACCAGAGUAACUCUGAUAGAUGGACAGUGAGAGCAUACACAGACAUUUGGGGGCUGGAAGAUUGUUCAUCAUCACGCUGGGGAUCAAAAACAGGAUCUAUGUGUACAAACAACUCCACCAGCACAUCAGACACUGGAGUGUACUGGUGUCAGUCUGAAUCUGGAGAGAACUAUCAUCCUGUUAAUAUCACUGUACACUCUUGUGUGAUUCUGGAGAGUCCUGUUCAUCCUGUGACUGAAGGAGAUUCUCUGGCUCUACGCUGUUUAUAUGAACAUUCAACUCCACCAAUCCUCAGAGCUGAUUUCUAUAAAGAUGCAUCACUCAUCCAGAAUCAAACUACAGAGAUGAUCAUCUCUACUGUCUCAAAGUCACAUGAGGGUUUCUACUACUGCAGACACCCAAAGAGAGGAGAGUCACCCAAGAGCUGGAUCUCAGUCACAGAAAGACCAAAAUCCAAAGUGAGCAUCACACCUGAUGAACAUGUAUUCAGAGGAGAGACAGUCACUCUCAGAUGUGACAUUGAUGGUGAAGGAGUCACUAACUGGAAGUACAGCUGGUAUAAAGACGGUUCAGACAGUGUCUUCAGUGAACUACAGGAACACACAUUCAGUUCUGUUACUGAGUCUGACGCAGGUAAAUACUCCUGUUAUGGAGCAGAGAGAGGAGGAUCACGAACAUCAAACAUCAGUGAUGAAGUUACACUGACAGUAUCAGAUAAAGCAAAGACAGUUUUAAGUGUUUCUCCAGAGAAGUGGUUGACUGAAGGAGAUCCAGUGACUCUGAUCUGUGAGGUUGAAGGCUCCUCUACAGGCUGGACAUUCAGCUGGUACACUGAAUAUAUUUCAGACUACAGAAGUCAUAAUUAUCAGCUGCUCUCAGACAGAAGCAGAGGAGCUGGAGGAAACUACACUGUCAGUUCUGCUGCUCUAAAACACACAGGAGUUUAUGUGUGCAGAGCAAAGAGAGGGAAACUAGCCUAUAGCACAUGGUAUAGCAACACACAGUUAAUAUGGGUCACUGGUGUUUCUCCUCCAGUCUCUCUGAUCAUCAGUCCCAGCAGAACUCAACACUUCACAUCUGUCUCUCUCUCUCUGAGCUGUGAGGACCAGAGUAAUUCUGAUAGAUGGAGAGUGAGAAGAUACUCAGACGGAUUUGGGCUGUUUGAUUGUUCAUCACGCUGGGGAUCACAAAAAGGAUCUACAUGUACAAUCAGCUACACUGUCCCACCAUACACUGGAGUGUACUGGUGUCAGUCUGAAUCUGGAGAGAACAGUCAUCCUGUGAAUAUCACUAUCCAACAGGAUAUGAUUCUGGAGAGUCCUGUUCAUCCUGUGACUGAAGGAGAUUCUCUGACUCUACGCUGUUUAUAUGAACAUUCAACUCCACCAAUCCUCAGAGCUGAUUUCUAUAAAGAUGGAUCACUCUUCCAGAGUCAAACUACAGAGAUGAUCAUCUCUACUGUCUCAAAGUCACAUGAGGGUUUCUACUACUGCAAACACCCAGAGAGAGGAGAGUCACCCAAGAGCUGGAUCUCAGUCACAGAGAGACCAAAAGCCAAAGUGAGCAUUAAACCUGAUGAACAUGUAUUCAGAGGAGAGACAGUCACUCUCAGAUGUGACAUUGAUGGUGAAGGAGUCUCUAGCUGGAAGUACAACUGGAAUAAAGACAGUUCAGUCAGUGUUUUAAGUGAACUAGAGGAACACACAUUCAGUUCUGUUACUGAGUCUGACGCAGGUAAAUACUCCUGUUAUGGAGCAGAGAAAGGAGGAUCGCGAACAUCAAACAUCAGUGAUGAAGUUACACUGACAGUAUCAGAUAAACCCAGACUAGUUUUAAGUGUUGCUCCACAGAAGUGGUUGACUGAAGGAGAUCCAGUGACUCUGAUCUGUGAGGUUAAAGACUCCUCUACAGGCUGGACAUUCAACUGGUUUACUGUUACUGUUUCAUCAGACUACAGGAAUCGUCAUAAGCUGCUCUCAGACAGCAGCAGAGGAGCUGGAGGAAACUACACGGUCAGUUCUGCUGCUCUGAAUCACACAGGAGUUUAUGUGUGCAGAGCAGAGAGAGGAAAACUAACCUAUAACACAUGGUACAGCAACAAACAACCACUAUGGGUCACUGGUGUUUCUCCUCCAGUCUCUCUGAUCAUCAGUCCCAGCAGAACUCAACACUUCACAUCUGUCUCUCUCUCUCUGAGCUGUGAGGACCAGAGUAACUCUGAUAGAUGGACAGUGAGAAGAUACUCUGACAUUUGGGGACUGGAAGAUUGUUCAUCAUCACUGUGGGGAUCACAAACAGGAUCUACAUGUACAAUCAACUCCACCAGCAUAUCACACACUGGAGUGUACUGGUGUCAGUCAGAAUCUGGAGAGAUCAGUCAUCCUGUUAAUAUCACUGUACACCCUGGUGUGAUUCUGGAGAGUCCUGUUCAUCCUGUGACUGAAGGAGAUUCUCUGACUCUACGCUGUUUAUAUGAACAUUCAACUCCACCAAUCCUCAGAGCUGAUUUCUAUAAAGAUGGAUCACUCAUCCAGAGUCAAACUACAGAGAUGAUCAUCUCUACUGUCUCAAAGUCACAUGAGGGUUUCUACUACUGCAAACACCCAGAGAGAGGAGAGUCACCCAAGAGCUGGAUCUCAUGUUUGUGUGUCUCUUUUUCAGUUUCUCAUUCAGAAUCUCAGAUCUCUGUCCUCCACACACUCAGUUCUGUACUGGCAGUUUGUCCAUAUCUGCUAGUGACAGUCGUGCUGAUCUUCAAGUGCUGCAGGAUGAGAGCUAAUGGUUGUUAGAUUCAACAUGAACCAGAACUUCAAACCCUUGGACUUCUGAGUGAAACUGGAUAUUCAACAAGAAUACAUAUCGACUGCAGGUUUCAGGAAGUCUUGAGACUUUAACACAGUUUGUGUCUUUAACUGUCUGUCAUCAUUCAGUCAGUAUGGAGCUCAGUCAACUUC
RNA transcript from Carassius carassius (crucian carp), 4556 nucleotides. It is a transcript of the gene named Fc receptor-like protein 5, with no coding region annotated. NCBI's taxonomy places the organism in Eukaryota, Metazoa, Chordata, Actinopteri, Cypriniformes, Cyprinidae. The record is from RefSeq and is a predicted model, not a curated record. The transcript is spliced from 22 exons.